Schizosaccharomyces pombe (fission yeast) is the source of this 622-nucleotide non-coding RNA. Lineage: Eukaryota; Fungi; Ascomycota; Schizosaccharomycetes; Schizosaccharomycetales; Schizosaccharomycetaceae. The record is from the annotation of a GenBank genome assembly.
UUGUCCGGAAAGAUAAGCGUGAAUUUUUUCGACGGAAGAAGAAGAUGCACCUGUACUCUUAGCUAAAUGAAGUAAAAUAAGUUUUAGAUUUUUUUCAAUACACCGUAUAGCUAACUUGCUUUCGUUCGACAGCUCAAUUUCAUCUUUUGGAUUCGGAAGAUGAAAUUCUAACAAGCUUCCUAUGAUUUUUGGUGCUAGUUCCUUCCGUCGCUUCACCAAAACCGGUAAGAUAUUCAAAACGCUAGUAAUGUAAAGGACAUUCAAAGAAUCCGAGAAAAGGAUGGAAAAUAUUUUUUCAAUUAAGUCAUUUGCUUCUAUUCUGAGGAUAUUUGAAUUGAUAAAAGGAUGAUGUGUGGGAACCUUAGAAAGAGACACGUCCGAUUUAGUUACAAGACGGGGAUCUCGAAUCCCAGGCACUUGCGUUAAAAUUACACAAGAAAUAAAUUUAAUACAAGAAAUUAAAAGAGGCUUGUUCCCUUUGUCAAAGUCAUUAAUGAUUUCGUUUUUUAGCUUCGUUAAAGUGUCCCAGGUAGAUGAAUCGUUAGGUGAAGUACAACAGUGCAGAAAUACUAGUGGGUAGAUUGUGCAAGAACAAGAUAUAACGUCUUUUUUAACUUCUUCA